Molecule: long non-coding RNA, 510 nt
Filed under: Mytilus galloprovincialis (Mediterranean mussel)
Lineage: Eukaryota; Metazoa; Mollusca; Bivalvia; Mytilida; Mytilidae
Source: RNAcentral
UUUAUUUGAAAACGGUUGAUUUGAUACUUUCUAUUUAGUAUACAAUUUCUAUCCGCAGUUUUCAAAUAGAUAUAUCCUCAAUUGAAUAAGAAAAGAAUGUUCAAAACUUUUUGCGUUUCUCUUUUUAAGUUUACCUUACCAACUAGGCUUCCUUCAUUGUCCGUCCGUCCGCCGUCUAAAUUAAAUACAAUCUUCUUAUCUGAAACCACUAAACCGACAGUAUAAAACUUUUCCGUCCAUUUGACACACAAACACUAUUGAUAAGUAUAGAAUAGAAUUACCACUGAAACGUCCACUUUAAGUUUAUUUUGCAGUUUGUGUUUAUUAUCUUGUUAACUAUAAAAGAUCGAGGAACAGUUUAAAUGGUACAAAUAAUAGAACUAUAAGAUGAACAAAUAAGUCAACUGAUCAAAUUCUGAAAAUGAUAAUUUGAAGGAGUUAAUGCUUAUGAAAGACAAAAGAUGGAAAACAAUGCCUACCAAUUUUUCAUGUCUUCCGAAACUUUUAUUA